AGCGAACGCUGGCGGCAGGCCUAACACAUGCAAGUCGAACGCCCGUAGCAAUACGGGAGUGGCAGACGGGUGAGUAACGCGUGGGAACGUGCCCUUCGGUUCGGAAUAACCCAGGGAAACUUGGGCUAAUACCGGAUACGUCCGUAAGGAGAAAGAUUUAUCGCCGAAGGAUCGGCCCGCGUCCGAUUAGCUAGUUGGUGAGGUAAUGGCUCACCAAGGCGACGAUCGGUAGCUGGUCGGAGAGGAUGAUCAGCCACACCGGGACUGAGACACGGCCCAGACUCCUACGGGAGGCAGCAGUGGGGAACAUUGGACAAUGGGCGCAAGCCGGAUCCAGCCAUGCCGCGUGGGUGAUGAAGGCCCUAGGGUUGUAAAGCCCUUUCGGCGGGGAAGAUAAUGACGGUACCCGCAGAAGAAGCCCCGGCUAACUUCGUGCCAGCAGCCGCCGUAA
RNAcentral lists this ribosomal RNA (451 nucleotides) under uncultured bacterium. Its description in RNAcentral is "partial 16S ribosomal RNA". It matches the Rfam family "Bacterial small subunit ribosomal RNA", at positions 29 to 523 of the family's 1533-position model. The record is from RNAcentral.